UAUACGAAGAAGAAAAAAAAGAUCGUCUUGAUUAUACAAUUGUUUUUGAAAAUAAAUUUAAUUAACACGCUCGACUAACGAAAAUUGUUCCAAGCAACUAAAUCAGUUUCGCUACGCCCUGGAUCAGUAAUAUAUAUGUCAGUAAGAUAUAUCGUCUGUCAUAGUCACUACGAGGUUGCACUAUGAAGUUAACACUAUUUUUGAUUUGCUUGCUUUUCGCAAUCGAUUUUAGUUUCGGAGAUGGAGAUGAAAUGCAGCAAGCUCUUGGAGGUAUUUGUGGUGGUGCGAGUAAAAAUGGUGUCUGUUUAAAGGAGAAUACUUUCAACUACAAUGUCAGCACUAGGAAAUGCGAAAAAGUGGAACGAGAUGGGGGAGCUUGUGGGUUCUUUAAGUUUAAGAAGAGAUGCGAAAUAGUAUGUAACAGUGUGAAAAAGGAAUUAGUUCACAAACCAAGCCGCUUGCCUCCACCGAUCUCGAAAUAAAUGCAUAUUGCUGAUAUCUAAACAUGAAA
This is a long non-coding RNA of Drosophila virilis, 511 nucleotides long. RefSeq lists it as uncharacterized. The record is from RefSeq and is a predicted model, not a curated record. NCBI's taxonomy places the organism in Eukaryota, Metazoa, Arthropoda, Insecta, Diptera, Drosophilidae.